This 541-nucleotide long non-coding RNA is filed under the name Anas platyrhynchos platyrhynchos (common mallard). Its description in RNAcentral is "lncRNA (ENSAPLG00000018140.1)". The record is from RNAcentral. Lineage: Eukaryota; Metazoa; Chordata; Aves; Anseriformes; Anatidae.
CAUCUGUUUCCUUAAUCUUCAGGAGAUUGUCCAGGAAGGCAAGAAAUUUCUGUAGGGUUUCCAAAGUCAGGUCUGUGGUAGGAAAUAUUGGCAGAACAGCAGUGUCAAACCUAGCUUAAUGAUUUUUCCUUUUACUCAACACCUAUUGCAUAUGGAUAUAUAAAGAAGCAAUUUUGCCAGUUCCACAAAUGGAGUAGCCUAUUUUGACAAGAAACAAAUCAAGACACGAUGAAUCAGCAACAUUUUUAAAUGGCCUGCUUUAAAAUGCUUUACUUCUCGCUCAAGGAGACAAAUUUGCUCUUGCAGCCUAGUCCCAGAGGUUUCCCUUAGAAAGAGAGACAGCUCAGUUAUUUUCCUUCCUCAUCCAGAGGGGUGCCAAACCCAUAUUUCCAAUACACAGGUAUGUGCCCCAGACCUUAAACACCCAGCUGUGUUGGGUAGAGAAAACCUCCACCAUCCCAUGCAACCUUCAGCCAAAAGCCCAAAGGAGGGGUGUGGUGGUUUUACCGUACUGGGCAGCUAAACCCCACAACCGCUCUCU